GGCCGCGGGAAUUCGAUUCAGGCCUAACACAUGCAAGUCGAGCGAACCCUUCGGGGUGAGCGGCGGACGGGUGAGUAACGCGUGGGUAACCUGCCCUGUACACACGGAUAACAUACCGAAAGGUAUGCUAAUACGAGAUAAUAUAUUUUAACCGCAUGGUUAAGAUAUCAAAGCUCCGGCGGUACAGGAUGGACCCGCGUCUGAUUAGCUAGUUGGUGAGGUAAUGGCUCACCAAGGCGACGAUCAGUAGCCGACCUGAGAGGGUGAUCGGCCACACUGGAACUGAGACACGGUCCAGACUCCUACGGGAGGCAGCAGUGGGGAAUAUUGCACAAGGGGCGAAAGCCUGAUGCAGCAACGCCGCGUGAGCUAAAGAGGCCUUCGGGUCGUAAAGCUCUGUCCUAAAGGAAGAUAAUG
Molecule: ribosomal RNA, 417 nt
Filed under: uncultured bacterium
Lineage: Bacteria
Description: bacterial SSU rRNA
Rfam family: Bacterial small subunit ribosomal RNA
Source: RNAcentral